RNAcentral lists this small nucleolar RNA (131 nucleotides) under Carlito syrichta (Philippine tarsier). Its description in RNAcentral is "Small nucleolar RNA SNORA70 (ENSTSYG00000030803.1)". It matches the Rfam family "Small nucleolar RNA SNORA70". From Rfam's summary of the family: snoRNA U70 seems to be exclusive to mammals and is a member of the H/ACA class of snoRNA which contain H (ANANNA) and ACA box motifs. H/ACA box snoRNAs are involved in the conversion of uridines to pseudouridines (5-ribosyluracil) a constituent of structural RNAs (transfer, ribosomal, small nuclear, and small nucleolar). Lineage: Eukaryota; Metazoa; Chordata; Mammalia; Primates; Tarsiidae. The record is from Rfam by way of RNAcentral.
AUGGAGGCCACAAAGGAAGCAGUACUUCCUCGUGGGGACCCGGUAUGCAAUGGCUGCAAACAGCAGCUUCCUUGGUAGUGUACGCAGCCUGUUUCUUGUAUAGGUUGCUCUAAGGGACCUUGGAGACAGCC